This 384-nucleotide unclassified non-coding RNA is filed under the name soil metagenome. RNAcentral's name for it is "partial contains 5.8S ribosomal RNA, internal transcribed spacer 2, and large subunit ribosomal RNA". The stretch from base 1 to 120 matches the Rfam family "5.8S ribosomal RNA", at positions 35 to 154 of the family's 154-position model. The record is from RNAcentral.
GAUGAAGAACGCAGCGAAAUGCGAUAAGUAAUGUGAAUUGCAGAAUUCAGUGAAUCAUCGAAUCUUUGAACGCACCUUGCACCCUUUGGCAUUCCGAAGGGUAUGCUCGUUUGAGUGUCAUUGUACUCUCACUCUCCCGAUGCUUUUGGAUCGGGAGUGGUGGACUUGGGUGUUGCUGCUUUGCUGUGGCUCGCCUCAAAUGGAGUAAUGCAACUCUUGGUUGGACAUAGUACGGCGUGAUAAGUGUCUUCGCCGGCGCCUCAUUAUAGAGGGUGGCCGAUCGGGAGCUCUGUGCUUCAAACCGUCUUCGGACAACAUCUGACAACUUGACCUCAAAUCGAGUAGGACUACCCGCUGAACUUAAGCAUAUCAAUAAGCGGAGGA